UACGGAGGGGGCGAGCGUUAUUCGGAAUUAUUGGGCGUAAAGAGCUCGUAGGCGGUUUGUCGCGUCUGCCGUGAAAGUCCGGGGCUCAACUCCGGAUCUGCGGUGGGUACGGGCAGACUAGAGUGAUGUAGGGGAGACUGGAAUUCCUGGUGUAGCGGUGAAAUGCGCAGAUAUCAGGAGGAACACCGAUGGCGAAGGCAGGUCUCUGGGCCGCAACUGACGCUGAGGAGCGAAAGCAUGGGGAGCGAACAGG
This 253-nucleotide ribosomal RNA is filed under the name uncultured bacterium. RNAcentral describes it as "partial 16S ribosomal RNA". It matches the Rfam family "Bacterial small subunit ribosomal RNA", at positions 524 to 776 of the family's 1533-position model. The record is from RNAcentral.